GACCGCGUAGCUCAGUUGGCAGAGCGUUGGGCUAGUAUUCCAAAGGUCGUAGGUUCAAUUCCCACCGUGGUCA
RNAcentral lists this transfer RNA (73 nucleotides) under Paramuricea clavata. It matches the Rfam family "tRNA". From Rfam's summary of the family: Transfer RNA (tRNA) molecules are approximately 80 nucleotides in length. Their secondary structure includes four short double-helical elements and three loops (D, anti-codon, and T loops). Further hydrogen bonds mediate the characteristic L-shaped molecular structure. tRNAs have two regions of fundamental functional importance: the anti-codon, which is responsible for specific mRNA codon recognition, and the 3' end, to which the tRNAs corresponding amino acid is attached (by aminoacyl-tRNA synthetases). tRNAs cope with the degeneracy of the genetic code in two manners: having more than one tRNA (with a specific anti-codon) for a particular amino acid; and 'wobble' base-pairing, i.e. permitting non-standard base-pairing at the 3rd anti-codon position. Lineage: Eukaryota; Metazoa; Cnidaria; Anthozoa; Malacalcyonacea; Plexauridae. The record is from Rfam by way of RNAcentral.